RNAcentral lists this unclassified non-coding RNA (243 nucleotides) under Funneliformis mosseae. RNAcentral describes it as "partial contains 5.8S ribosomal RNA and internal transcribed spacer 2". The stretch from base 1 to 71 matches the Rfam family "5.8S ribosomal RNA", at positions 84 to 154 of the family's 154-position model. The record is from RNAcentral. Lineage: Eukaryota; Fungi; Glomeromycota; Glomeromycetes; Glomerales; Glomeraceae.
GUGAAUCAUCGAAUCUUUGAACGCAAAUUGCACUCCCUGGUAUUCCGGGGAGUAUGCCUGUUUGAGGGUCGUUAGAACAAAAAUCGAAGCGUCGCUCUUUUUUUUUUUAAGGGUGAUCGGGUCGGAAUUGAGCCGUUUUUCAAAUGUUAAUUCAUGUCAAAGGGGGUUGAAAUUCAACCCUCCGGUACGAUUAAAGCGUAUUUAAGAUCAAAUUUGAUUAAGAACCGGCGAUGAAAGGAACAA